UCAACCACAGAUGUCCAGCCACAAUUCUCGGUUGGCCGCAGACUCGUACAAGAAUUGCGUUUGGACAAUCAGUGGUGAA
Rattus norvegicus (Norway rat) is the source of this 79-nucleotide non-coding RNA. NCBI's taxonomy places the organism in Eukaryota, Metazoa, Chordata, Mammalia, Rodentia, Muridae. The record is from Rfam.